RNAcentral lists this ribosomal RNA (254 nucleotides) under uncultured bacterium. RNAcentral describes it as "partial 16S ribosomal RNA". It matches the Rfam family "Bacterial small subunit ribosomal RNA", at positions 524 to 776 of the family's 1533-position model. The record is from RNAcentral.
UACGGGGGGAGCAAGCGUUGUUCGGAUUUACUGGGCGUAAAGGGCGCGUAGGCGGUCAGCACAAGUCAGUUGUGAAAUCUCCGGGCUUAACUCGGAAGGGUCAACUGAUGCUGUGCGACUAGAGUGCAGAAGGGGCAACUGGAAUUCUCGGUGUAGCGGUGAAAUGCGUAGAUAUCGAGAGGAACACCUGCGGCGAAGGCGGGUUGCUGGGCUGACACUGACGCUGAGGCGCGAAAGCCAGGGGAGCGAACGGG